UUGAUCGAUAGUCCUGUGCUGGCUCAUCUGGCUUCCAUCCACGUGCUGCUACAGAGGGAGAGAAAAUCAAAGAGCCACACGCAGGAUGGCCAGGUCUCCAAUUCAAUACAUGGCAGCAGCUUGAUCAAUAACUUGUUGGAAGGGACACUUCCUGCUCUUCCACAUCAUUAUGAAAACUGCUGGUGACAACGCAUCCGAUCCCAGUACUGGGAGCUCCUCAGAAGGACUCGUAACAAAACACGCUCUUGAGCCUGGAGGUUUUUUUUUCCUGCAAAUCUUCCAAGUUUGGAUCUUCUUUAUCUUCCAGAUCAGAGGUGAAAUGCAUGCUGCUUUUCCACGCGCACAAAUAUGGAGCUGCUGUGAAAGCAUCUGAAUAUGUAGAAAAAUAAGUCAGUGAAAAUCAUUCGUGGAGUCUGGAGGGUAUUUCCUACAGUACUGCAGUUGUAAGCAGACAGGUCACACCUCAUGGAUGAAACAAGAAACUUUUCCUCACCACAGCAACACUAGAGGGGCCUGCCUUACUGGAAGGUUAAGGGCCUCCAGAUCAUCUUGACACAUGCUCCAAAAGUGGUACCUUUCUAUUUCUUGCUCUUUCCUGACAACAACCUUCCCUUUCAACACUCAGCAAUUCCAUUUCUAGAAGGAAAUAUAUACAAAGGCAAUUCAGCACCACCUCUGUAAGCUCACUAAUUUGUAAGAGUCACUGGGAAGUCCUGCAGGCCAAGAAUGGAAGUGUAUCUGUAAGUGAUAGUUGGUUAGAUUACAGUGCUAAUAGCACUGAGGUUGUGGAAUUGAUCCCUGUAUGGGCCAUUCACUUAAGAGCUGGACUGGAUGAUCCUUGUGAGUCCUUUCCAACUCAGAAUAUUUUCUGAUACACAUUUCAAGCUCUGAAGGUAAAAAACAACAGUAGUUCUUCUGCUCCAAAUAAGGUGCACUUCAUUCUAAUCCUGACAUCUAUCACACUUUCAAGUGAACAAUGACUCAUGGCCUUUCAUCAUUUGUGUUUGUCACACAAAUCUAAUUUAACCUCAUAAAUUCCCAAAGAGAAAAAAAAUGUUUUGUAGGAGUUGCUAUGCUUAUACCACAAAUAACAUUGCUACAAACAAAUUGCUAAAUGUGACCUGCCUCUCCUAAGGACCCGUGAUCCUGAAGCAAACCAAUUAUGUAAAAUCAUCAAACCCAGCAGAGAAGAAGCCAGAGGAAUUACAGAAAGGACUUAGUAGUGGGAGCAAAUUAAAUGGAUGAAUUUGUGUGGUUUGCCUUGCUGCAGCAAGCAGAUAUGCACAAAGGGGGAGAAACUGCUGACUGAAUGGACUUGGGACCCUGAGACAGAGAAAUCCUUGGGGAAAGUAAACCAGAAGUUUGUGCACCAUGGAGCACAUUGACGGACAAAUGGACUGUAUCACUAACAGAAAAACAGAGCAAAUACAUAAAAGAUAUUGGCAAAACCAACAGGUAGAUAUAUCUCAAUAGACUCUUGUGCUGUGAGGGGGAAAGACAGCAAUGUCAUUUAUCUGCUGGUGAAAAGCCAAUAGCAGACCAGGCACUCCUCCUGCAGAGUCAACAAAAGCAACAGGAACUGCAGCUUGCACUUCAGCAGGAGAGGCUGUUGCAAUGUUCGCUGGCAUGGGGCCUGGGCAGUACUGCAGGACUGGCAGAAGGUGGUUUGGGCCAACUGAGCUCAGGGCUGAUGGAGCUCAAAUACACAUGCACACCUGUAUCUCUGGAUGCCUAAUGCUGCUGCUGCUGCAGAGGGUUAAAAGUGAGCUACAGAAAACCUUCCCUCAACAAAGGAAGGCCACACAGCAUAGGAAGUGUUGAGCUGUUUGGCUCUAGUUCUGGCCAGCCUGAGACUGGCUCCAGAAGCAUACUCUCAUGGCAUCUGGCGUGCAUUCUAUUAAUGAGGAAUGUGCUCAUUUAUACCCAGAGAACAUCACUACCUGCCUGUCCAGAGAUGAAAAUGGCCUUGGAAUUACUUCCACAGGGUGUGCUGCUAGAGUAAAUGGAUUGCCACCCUGAGAAUUUCUCUGUCAGUAACAUGACGGAGGAAGUGGUGUGGAAGAAAUGAAUUCAUGUUAGACUACAGCAUUUUGCUACAAGAGGUAAAGAAGAACUAUUAGUCCUACACCAGCUUACAGAAGGUUCUUCUGAGAGCAGGGAUACUCCAAUGAUACACAGCUGACAUGCAAACUUGCACAAGGGAAGGGAUUGUUCACUGGAGCAUAUACAGGCAUGUGCCCACCAUAUACAGAUAAGUGUGCCAUUUGAGACAUGGAGCUGUUCAACAGGGCAGUUAGAGAAACACCUGAGUGGUGAGUGCUAUAAUGUUGAAUUGAGAACAAAUGGUCUUAAAUUGUGUGGGAACUCCACUGUGAACUAAAUGAAAAACCAAGAGAAGUCUGGUAACUACACGGCCAGGAUUCCUUAGGGAACAACAGCCAAAAAGCCUUAAGCAGAUUGGUAAAAGAGCUAUGCGGACCCAGACAUCUUUAGGCAUUAAAGAAAGUUGGCGUAUCAGUACACAGACAUUACAGCCCUGAAACAGAACAUCAUUGAGAAAUCUGUGUGGUAAUGGGAUGGGUCCCCGUCAAACUGUACAACUGAGUUUGGACAAGACCCUGAGUAAGGAUGUGUGUGCUGCCAGGGACUGGUGCCUUAAAUGCCUGCAGUAAGUAAUAUAAAUAUGGUGACUCUCAGAGUGCUGGGAAGGAAUCAGGCAACUCUACAAAGCUCAUCUGAGGAGGAAAUGGUUUGGAGCAGGUGACAGCCUACAGUUCCCACAGACUCAGACCAAGAUAAGAGCACAAAGGGCCUGCUUCAAGCAGGGAAACAACCAUGCUCUAAUCUGAUCCCUUGCUUCUAAGGUUUGAAGAAUUUUACUGGCUUUAAGCAUCUUCCAUCUUUUCUGAGCUGAAGGACACAUCUGACAGCUACGUAUGUGCUGGUCAAGUGUGGAAGAAUACAACUGUAUUUACAUGUUCUGUGCUGGAAGGAUUAUUUUCCUUCAAAUAUUAGAAAAUAAAUCUUUUCUUUUACCUCAGUCCUCAUUUACAACAACAGAAGGGUAUUCUGGGAGGUUUUAAAGUGACUUUAACCUGAUGUUGUUGUUUUCAAUAUAGGAGCUAUUAAGAACUUUCAUUGUUAUAUAGUUCAUGUUGUAAAUUAUUUCCAUAGCAACCCGAUCGUGUCAUAUAUUCUGGGCUAUAACUCAGAGGGAGAGGGGAUGGGAAAAGCACAGAAUAGAGACUACAGAGCAAAACCUGUCCCGAUUAUUACCUGAAUCUUGAAUGUUCUUUUUAGUACAAUUUGCUUAAGCAGUGUUUAUUUCCAGGCAAUGUUGAGGAUCCAGCCAGGCUGCACCUGCCUUCCCAGACAUGCUCAAACACAGCCUAGGAUUGCACAUCUUCAAGGGAGAGCAGGGUGGGGUUCCUUCAAAUGACAGAACCUUCUGCAAGGAGGAAGCUUCAAGCUGUAACUUGCAAAAUAUGUACUGUAAAAAUCCAGCUAUCAGAACACGGAAGAUCUAUGUAGAGACCUGCAACUAAUCAUGCAAAAACCUGAAAGGAGCUGCUCUUUGUAUUAAGCAUGUGCAGUGCAGUUCUCAAGAAAUGCUGUCAUCAGUUCUAGCAUGAGGAAAGACAGGUACAAAAGAGAAUGAGAAUUUCUGCAUUGCUUCCUGGUAUUUAACUGUCACACAAGCCACUAGACAUUCUAUCAAGGCUGCUGACUAAUUGUUAGCAGAAUGUGACUAGAUAUCCACAGAUCACUCAACUGAUACUGUCCUUGAUGCCCACACCUCUUACUGCCUCCCUUCCAGCUGAAAUGGUGCAGUGAGCACAGCUGAAUGAGUUCAGUUGGAUUAACAGAAAAGUUGACUCCUGGAUGGGAGGGUGAUGAGCUGGGUGUUGGAGUCAGAGAAUCACUCAAAACCACAGCAAAUGUUUGCCAAAAAUGAGUAUAUACACUUAGCAAGGUACAGCUUUUGAAAGGCUGCAUCUUUUUGAUAAGAUACACAGUAUAAUCUUUAAUUGCAGGAGAUGGGAUAAAAUAAAUGUGCCAACUGGCCUUUCUUAUCAAUGCAGUCUGAAUUCUUCACGGAGGAAUUAUCUUUACAUGUCACAGGGAGUCAAGAACAUCAACAAUACUUGAGCAAGUAAUAAAAAAUACUCCAAAAUUUACUGCUGCAGGAAGACAAGAGCCCUUUCAGUUGUUUUAAUCUCAGAUGUUUUAUACCUUGUCUUUUUAUUUUACAGAAAUCAGUUAUAGACAUUGAGUGAGUUCUAAGAGAAAAUGUCUAGCAUAUCAAGCUAGAUCAAAUAAACUUUCAACAUCUACAAGUCAGUGGCCUAUAUUUUCCAGUAGCAGACCAGAUAUUCAGGAUUCCCACUCCCUCCCUAAUUUUGCCCCUAGCUCUUACAUACAUUAAACCUACAAAAGUGUAUUGUCCUUACUCCAGCAGUGUGCCAGUCUGGACACGUUCGAAUGAAAACCUGAGCUCCACUAUGAUCUUGUCUCUUGUUGCCAUGAUGUGUGCAGUGAAGAGGAAGAUUGCCUCAGAUAAUCCGGAAUAUAGCAAUUCAAAGCAACCCCGUCCUGUCUUUGAUUUGGAUGUGGUGUGCUUUCCAUCAUAGCCAAAGGGGAGCUCCUACCUCUGACACACAGGUAUGCACUCUUCUUCACCCCAGCCCU
Long non-coding RNA from Zonotrichia albicollis (white-throated sparrow), 4689 nucleotides. RefSeq lists it as uncharacterized. The record is from RefSeq and is a predicted model, not a curated record. Lineage: Eukaryota; Metazoa; Chordata; Aves; Passeriformes; Passerellidae.